UUAGAUACCCUUUUAUACAAGCAUGAGAAAAAUUACUUGAUUAGUACCAGUAAUGGACUUGAAAAUUAAAAAAUUUGGCGGUACCAUAGUCUAGUUAGAGGAACCUGUUUAAUAAACGAUAAACCACGCAUAAUCUUACUUUCUUUUGUUAAUCAGCUUAUAUACCGCCAUCAUUAAAUAAUUCUUAGAGGAAAUUAUUAAAAUUUAACUUUUUUGAAGAAAAUUAGGUCAAGGUGUAGCUAAUAAGAAAGAAAUAAAUGGGUUACAUUUGAUAAAUCAAGUUAACACGAAUUUUUUUAAUGAAAAUAUAAUUGAAGGUGUAUUUAAAAGUAAUAAAAUUUUAAUAAGUUUUUAUGAAAAAGCUCUAUAGUAUGUACAUUCCGCCCCCGUCGCUA
Molecule: ribosomal RNA, 395 nt
Filed under: Latreutes fucorum
Lineage: Eukaryota; Metazoa; Arthropoda; Malacostraca; Decapoda; Hippolytidae
Description: partial 12S ribosomal RNA
Source: RNAcentral